RNAcentral lists this ribosomal RNA (497 nucleotides) under uncultured bacterium. RNAcentral describes it as "partial 16S ribosomal RNA". It matches the Rfam family "Bacterial small subunit ribosomal RNA", at positions 28 to 507 of the family's 1533-position model. The record is from RNAcentral.
GAUGAACGCUGGCGGCGUGCCUAAUACAUGCAAGUCGAGCGAACAGAUAAGGAGCUUGCUCCUUUGACGUUAGCGGCGGACGGGUGAGUAACACGUGGGUAACCUACCUAUAAGACUGGAAUAACUCCGGGAAACCGGGGCUAAUGCCGGAUAACAUUUAGAACCGCAUGGUUCUAAAGUGAAAGAUGGUUUUGCUAUCACUUAUAGAUGGACCCGCGCCGUAUUAGCUAGUUGGUAAGGUAACGGCUUAUCAAGGCAACGAUACGUAGCCGACCUGAGAGGGUGAUCGGCCACACUGGAACUGAGACACGGUCCAGACUCCUACGGGAGGCAGCAGUAGGGAAUCUUCCGCAAUGGGCGAAAGCCUGACGGAGCAACGCCGCGUGAGUGAUGAAGGUCUUCGGAUCGUAAAACUCUGUUAUUAGGGAAGAACAAAUGUGUAAGUAACUGUGCACGUCUUGACGGUACCUAAUCAGAAAGCCACGGCUAACUACGUG